This 512-nucleotide ribosomal RNA is filed under the name Bacillus amyloliquefaciens. Its description in RNAcentral is "bacterial SSU rRNA". It matches the Rfam family "Bacterial small subunit ribosomal RNA", at positions 173 to 674 of the family's 1533-position model. The record is from RNAcentral. Lineage: Bacteria; Bacillati; Bacillota; Bacilli; Caryophanales; Bacillaceae.
UGUUUGAACCGCAUGGUUCAGACAUAAAAGGUGGCUUCGGCUACCACUUACAGAUGGACCCGCGGCGCAUUAGCUAGUUGGUGAGGUAACGGCUCACCAAGGCGACGAUGCGUAGCCGACCUGAGAGGGUGAUCGGCCACACUGGGACUGAGACACGGCCCAGACUCCUACGGGAGGCAGCAGUAGGGAAUCUUCCGCAAUGGACGAAAGUCUGACGGAGCAACGCCGCGUGAGUGAUGAAGGUUUUCGGAUCGUAAAGCUCUGUUGUUAGGGAAGAACAAGUGCCGUUCAAAUAGGGCGGCACCUUGACGGUACCUAACCAGAAAGCCACGGCUAACUACGUGCCAGCAGCCGCGGUAAUACGUAGGUGGCAAGCGUUGUCCGGAAUUAUUGGGCGUAAAGGGCUCGCAGGCGGUUUCUUAAGUCUGAUGUGAAAGCCCCCGGCUCAACCGGGGAGGGUCAUUGGAAACUGGGGAACUUGAGUGCAGAAGAGGAGAGUGGAAAUUCCACGU